AACGAACGCUGGCGGCAUGCCUAACACAUGCAAGUCGAACGAGAUCUUCGGGUCUAGUGGCGCACGGGUGCGUAACGCGUGGGAAUCUGCCCUUUGGUUCGGAAUAACAGUUGGAAACGACUGCUAAUACCGGAUGAUGACGAAAGUCCAAAGAUUUAUCGCCAGAGGAUGAGCCCGCGUAGGAUUAGCUAGUUGGUGUGAUAAAGGCGUACCAAGGCGACGAUCCUUAGCUGGUCUGAGAGGAUGAUCAGCCACACUGGGACUGAGACUCGGCCCAGACUCCUACGGGAGGCAGCAGUGGGGAAUAUUGGACAAUGGGCGAAAGCCUGAUCCAGCAAUGCCGCGUGAGUGAUGAAGGCCUUAGGGUUGUAAAGCUCUUUUACCCGGGAUGAUAAUGACAGUACCGGGAGAAUAAGCUCCGGCUAACUCCGUGCCAGCCGCCGCCGUAA
This 449-nucleotide ribosomal RNA is filed under the name uncultured bacterium. RNAcentral describes it as "partial 16S ribosomal RNA". It matches the Rfam family "Bacterial small subunit ribosomal RNA", at positions 29 to 523 of the family's 1533-position model. The record is from RNAcentral.